UGUUUCACAUUUUGGAUAUUGGGGUAGUUGAUGGGGAAUAUAAAAAAGAAGAGGAAGAUUAAGGGAAAGAUUAUAAAUUAAAUUAGGGUUGUAUUGAGUCUGAGGUUCUAGUGGGAGAGCCUCAAUUUUUUUUUUUUUUUUUUUUUU
Long non-coding RNA from Sapajus apella (tufted capuchin), 147 nucleotides. RefSeq lists it as uncharacterized. The record is from RefSeq and is a predicted model, not a curated record. Lineage: Eukaryota; Metazoa; Chordata; Mammalia; Primates; Cebidae. The transcript is spliced from 3 exons.